Molecule: ribosomal RNA, 468 nt
Filed under: uncultured bacterium
Lineage: Bacteria
Description: partial 16S ribosomal RNA
Rfam family: Bacterial small subunit ribosomal RNA
Source: RNAcentral
GACGAACGCUGGCGGCGUGCUUAACACAUGCAAGUCGAACGGAAAGGCCCUGCUUUUGUGGGUUUCUCGAUUGCCGAACGGGUGUGUAAAACGUGUGUAACCUCCCCUUGACUUUGGGAUAACUUCAGGAAACUGGGGCUAAUACCCGAUAGGAGCUCCUGCUGCAUGUUGGGGGUUGGAAAGUUUCGGCGUUUGUGGAUGGACUCGCGGCUUCUCAGCUGGUUGGUGGGGUAGUGGCUUACGAGGCCUUCGAAGGGUAGCCGGCCUGAGAGGGUUGCCGGGCACAUGGGGACUGAGAGACGGCCCAGACGCGUACGGGCGGCAGUAGUGGGGAAUCUUGCACAAUGGGCGGAAGCCUGAUGCAGCAACGCCGCGUGCGGGAUGACGGCCUUCGGGUUGUAAACCGCUUUCGACGGUGACGAAGCGGGAGUGACGGUAAUGGGUAAAGAAGCACCGGCUAACUACGUG